AAAUUUACGGAAUUGGAUUUCAAGUUUCGGAACUCGAGAUAUGAUUUUUAAAGCGACUGUGAUGCAGUUAGCCAGCUUGUCUGGAAAUUUUGAAAUGAAUUGUAUGAGCUGUUUAAGUAAUGAAUUAAGUCAGUUAACACCUCGUGUUCGACUCCGGCGACGGUCUCGGGUAUGGGGCAUUACAUUAUUUGUAUUAAAAUACAAUUUAUUUUUAAUUGAAUAUUUAAAUUCUUCAGAAAAAAU
RNAcentral lists this long non-coding RNA (243 nucleotides) under Gossypium barbadense (sea-island cotton). RNAcentral's name for it is "long non-coding RNA (GBAR_LNC005243)". The record is from RNAcentral. Lineage: Eukaryota; Viridiplantae; Streptophyta; Magnoliopsida; Malvales; Malvaceae.